GGGGUUGUGGCUCAGUGUCAGAGUGCUUUCUUUGCACAUAUGAGGUACUGAGUUCGAUCCUCAGCGCCACA
RNAcentral lists this transfer RNA (71 nucleotides) under Marmota monax (woodchuck). RNAcentral describes it as "tRNA.Ala". The record is from RNAcentral. Lineage: Eukaryota; Metazoa; Chordata; Mammalia; Rodentia; Sciuridae.